UGGGGAAUAUUGCACAAUGGGCGCAAGCCUGAUGCAGCCAUGCCGCGUUUAUGAAGAAUGCCUUCGGGUUGUAAAGUACUUUCAGUCGGGAGGAAGGUGGUAAGGUUAAUAACCUUAUCAAUUGACGUUACCGACAGAAGAAGCACCGGCUAACUCCGUGCCAGCAGCCGCGGUAAUACGGAGGUUGCAAGCGUUAAUCGGAAUUACUGGUCGUAAAGCGCACGCAGGCGGUUGAUUGAGUCAGAUGUGAAAUCCCCGGGCUUAAACCGGGAAAUGCAUCUGAUACUGGUCAGCUAGAGUCUUGUAGAGGGAGGUAGAAUUCCAUGUGUAGCGGUGAAAGGAGUAGAGAUGUGGAGGAAUAACGGUGGCGAAGGCGGCCCCCUGGACAAAGACUGACGCUCAGGUGCGAAAGCGUGGGGAGCAAACAGG
RNAcentral lists this ribosomal RNA (429 nucleotides) under Chloroflexota bacterium. Its description in RNAcentral is "Chloroflexi bacterium partial 16S ribosomal RNA". It matches the Rfam family "Bacterial small subunit ribosomal RNA", at positions 355 to 776 of the family's 1533-position model. The record is from RNAcentral. Lineage: Bacteria; Bacillati; Chloroflexota.